GCGGUGUGAAAGUUGGUGACGAUGAAUGCAUUAUAGUUUAUUGAUAAAUUAUCAACUCGAUUAUUACUUGAUCAAUUUAAUUAUUGAUAAAAUAUGCUAAAUUCAUAAUUCUGAUCAUAUUUAGGCUUAACUAGAAACCUCAAUUAGAUUUUAUAGUCAUCAGAAAAAGUUAUGAUGCAUAACAUUAUAUUUUUAUUAUAAAACGUUUUGAACAUUCAGUUAUAAAAUGUUUCAACAUAGUUUUAAAUAGUAUUUAAAAGCAAAAGUGGCCAAGCCGAAGACAGUCAUAUAUGCAUAGGGUUAGUUUAGAUUUUUAUAUAAACAAAAAUAAAGGAAUGGGGUUGGGUUUGUUUUCUUGUAGAUUAUUAAAUUUGUUUUUAAAAUAUCAAAUUAAAGGAAAAAAUAAAAACGGUUAUUUAUAAUUUAUAAAUGUGAGAAAACACCUUUUUAAUAUCUACCAACAAAUCAGAACUAAUAUUGAAUUGUCCAAAGGUAGAAGUCAUCAAUCAAGAUAUGAACUCUAACACUAGCUGACCUAAAUAUAACUUUAUAUAUUAUCUAAUUCGUAUACAUUUAAAUGUAUUUAUAACAUAAUAAUCAAUUAAUCAUUACAUUUAUGUGGGGGAAGAACUAGAAUAAGC
This 641-nucleotide long non-coding RNA is filed under the name Brassica napus (rape). Its description in RNAcentral is "long non-coding RNA (BNAP_LNC000734)". The record is from RNAcentral. Lineage: Eukaryota; Viridiplantae; Streptophyta; Magnoliopsida; Brassicales; Brassicaceae.